This 36-nucleotide small RNA is filed under the name Bombyx mori (domestic silkworm). RNAcentral describes it as "ovarian small RNA-4407". The record is from RNAcentral. Lineage: Eukaryota; Metazoa; Arthropoda; Insecta; Lepidoptera; Bombycidae.
ACCUGAAAGAAGUUGAAGGGGUCGGAGACUCGGGUU